GAAAACGUGUUUUUUAUGAGAUAAGCUGUACACCACCUGCUGUAAAACAAGAAGACGGUAUAUCCAAUCACAUGCGCAUAUUGCUGUGACGUGCUCUUGGAAGAAGGUCGCUGUGAUUUCAAAUUCUCCGUGGGAAAAGCUGGGUUUGACGGCGUUCAAGAGCAGUUCUCUACAUUUGGCGCAACAGCUCAAAUGGAAACUAGAGCACAAGAUCAGAAUGAAGCUCCCACACAUGGCCUUAUGACUGUUGCCCCAGUGAAGAACCCGAGGUCCAGCCUUCCCCACUCAAGACAUGCCUGAGACAAGAGUGACUGUAUUCCAAGUUGAACAAUGCACGGGAGGCCUGUGAAUUUGGGCAGUGUGAUUUGGAACUGUAUAGUACAUAAUAAGACUCUAUUGAGCUCUUAUAACCUUAUUAAAUAGCUAACAUGGAAAGCAUUUUUGAAAAUUAAGUAACAUGAAAAAAUUAAUGUGACAUGUCUUUAAUGGCGAUUGCAAGCCCUUAAAAAGUCUUAAAUUGUCUUAAAUUUAUUUUUGUUCAUAAAAUUGUCUAAUACAUCAUGACAGUUGAAUAUAUCAUGGUGUAUUUAUCUGUGGUUACAAUGCGUUUGUAUUUGAAUGUUAAAAGCCUGCAAUGUGUCCUUUUCUUGGACCAAAAUAAACAUUUGGACAAAUGCCCAAACCAAUGUUGUUAUUUUAGAUAAUUGUAAAAAUGUCAAGUAGCUAAGAGUACAACUUGCCUGUGCUUACUUGUGUGGCAAACUGUCUUAAAUGUUAUUCCAAGAAGCAUUUAAAGUUACAAUCUCGAAGAUUUCAGUUUCGUUCUCUAUGGCGGUGC
Molecule: long non-coding RNA, 838 nt
Organism: Anguilla anguilla (European eel)
Lineage: Eukaryota; Metazoa; Chordata; Actinopteri; Anguilliformes; Anguillidae
Exons: 3
Source: RefSeq, a predicted model, not a curated record